GUUAAAGAUAGAGUGGCAAUGAAGAUUAUCGAAUAGUACCACUCCAUGUAUUCAUCCUCUAGUGGUUUGGAGAAAUGGGUUGUAAAGAUUGAGCAACCCAUAGACAUCUUUCUCACGAUACCCAGUGCAUCAGUUUCUCUUAUAUAAAUGAGAUAAAUGCUAUUUAAACAAAAUUUUGGGAGCUAUCUAUAGCAAUGACUGAAGGACGUUGAAGACAAAGUCAAUUUCUCAUGCAAGGGUCCGCUUGGAUGUUCUUUGGUUUCUUAAAAUUAAUUCCUUUUGUAAACGUACCUUAUGAAUAUGUGAUAUUUGGGCACAAUGUUACUUUUAUAGACCUUUGUUGGGUAAUGUGCACCUCAAUAUGACAUUUG
Molecule: long non-coding RNA, 371 nt
Organism: Coffea arabica (coffee)
Lineage: Eukaryota; Viridiplantae; Streptophyta; Magnoliopsida; Gentianales; Rubiaceae
Source: RefSeq, a predicted model, not a curated record